RNAcentral lists this ribosomal RNA (492 nucleotides) under uncultured bacterium. RNAcentral's name for it is "partial 16S ribosomal RNA". It matches the Rfam family "Bacterial small subunit ribosomal RNA", at positions 29 to 507 of the family's 1533-position model. The record is from RNAcentral.
AGUGAACGCUGGCGGUAGGCCUAACACAUGCAAGUCGAACGGCAGCACAGUAAGAGCUUGCUCUUACGGGUGGCGAGUGGCAGACGGGUGAGGAAUACAUCGGAAUCUACUUUUUCGUGGGGGAUAACGUAGGGAAACUUACGCUAAUACCGCAUACGACCUACGGGUGAAAGCAGGGGAUCUUCGGACCUUGCGCGAUUGAAUGAGCCGAUGUCGGAUUAGCUAGUUGGCGGGGUAAAGGCCCACCAAGGCGACGAUCCGUAGCUGGUCUGAGAGGAUGGUCAGCCACACUGGAACUGAGACACGGUCCAGACUCCUACGGGAGGCAGCAGUGGGGAAUAUUGGACAAUGGGCGCAAGCCUGAUCCAGCCAUACCGCGUGGGUGAAGAAGGCCUUCGGGUUGUAAAGCCCUUUUGUUGGGAAAGAAAAGCAGCAGGUUAAUACCCCGCUGUUCUGACGGUACCCAAAGAAUAAGCACCGGCUAACUUCGUG